GCAAGUCGAGCGCGAAAUCUCCUUCGGGAGUGAGUAGAGCGGCGGACGGGUGAGUAACGCGUAGGAAUCUACCCAGUGGUGGGGGACAACAGUCGGAAACGGCUGCUAAUACCGCAUACGCCCUACGGGGAAAAGCGGGGGACCUUCGGGCCUCGCGCCAUUGGAUGAGCCUGCGUCGGAUUAGCUAGUUGGUAGGGUAAAGGCCUACCAAGGCGACGAUCCGUAGCUGGUCUGAGAGGACGAUC
Molecule: ribosomal RNA, 245 nt
Filed under: uncultured bacterium
Lineage: Bacteria
Description: partial 16S ribosomal RNA
Rfam family: Bacterial small subunit ribosomal RNA
Source: RNAcentral